GUCUCUGUGGCGCAAUCGGUUAGUGUGUUCGGCUAAUAAACCAAAAGGUUGGUGGUUCAAUCCCACCCAGGGACG
Non-coding RNA from Pseudophryne corroboree (corroboree frog), 75 nucleotides. NCBI's taxonomy places the organism in Eukaryota, Metazoa, Chordata, Amphibia, Anura, Myobatrachidae. The record is from the annotation of a RefSeq genome assembly.